AACGAACGCUGGCGGCAGGCCUAACACAUGCAAGUCGAGCGAGGACUUCGGUCCUAGCGGCGGACGGGUGAGUAACGCGUGGGAACGUGCCCUUUGCUUCGGAAUAGCCCUGGGAAACUGGGAGUAAUACCGGAUGAGCCCUUUGGGGGAAAGAUUUAUCGGCGAAGGAUCGGCCCGCGUUGGAUUAGGUAGUUGGUGGGGUAAUGGCCUACCAAGCCGACGAUCCAUAGCUGGUUUGAGAGGAUGAUCAGCCACACUGGGACUGAGACGCGGCCCAGACUCCUACGGGAGGCAGCAGUGGGGAAUCUUAGACAAUGGGGGAAACCCUGAUCUAGCCAUGCCGCGUGAGCGAUGAAGGCCUUAGGGUUGUAAAGCUCUUUCAGCUGGGAAGAUAAUGACGGUACCAGCAGAAGAAGCCCCGGCUAACUCCGUG
Molecule: ribosomal RNA, 433 nt
Filed under: uncultured bacterium
Lineage: Bacteria
Description: partial 16S ribosomal RNA
Rfam family: Bacterial small subunit ribosomal RNA
Source: RNAcentral